This 579-nucleotide ribosomal RNA is filed under the name uncultured bacterium. RNAcentral's name for it is "partial 16S ribosomal RNA". It matches the Rfam family "Bacterial small subunit ribosomal RNA", at positions 355 to 926 of the family's 1533-position model. The record is from RNAcentral.
UGGGGAAUUUUGGACAAUGGGCGAAAGCCUGAUCCAGCAAUGCCGCGUGUGUGAAGAAGGCCUUCGGGUUGUAAAGCACUUUUGUCCGGAAAGAAAUCCUUGGCUCUAAUACAGUCGGGGGAUGACGGUACCGGAAGAAUAAGCACCGGCUAACUACGUGCCAGCAGCCGCGGUAAUACGUAGGGUGCAAGCGUUAAUCGGAAUUACUGGGCGUAAAGCGUGCGCAGGCGGUUUGCUAAGACCGAUGUGAAAUCCCCGGGCUCAACCUGGGAACUGCAUUGGUGACUGGGCAGGCUAGAGUAUGGCAGAGGGGGGUAGAAUUCCACGUGUAGCAGUGAAAUGCGUAGAGAUGUGGAGGAAUACCGAUGGCGAAGGCAGCCCCCUGGGCCAAUACUGACGCUCAUGCACGAAAGCGUGGGGAGCAAACAGGAUUAGAUACCCUGGUAGUCCACGCCCUAAACGAUGUCAACUAGUUGUUGGGGAUUCAUUUCCUUAGUAACGUAGCUAACGCGUGAAGUUGACCGCCUGGGGAGUACGGUCGCAAGAUUAAAACUCAAAUGAAUUGACGGGGUCAUAGCU